GACAAACGCUGGCGACGUGCUUAAUACAUGCAAGUCGAACGGACACACUUCGGUGUGUUAGUGGCGGACGGGUGAGUAACACGUAGAUGACCUGCCCUAUAGUGGGGAAUAACAGCCUGAAAGGGUUGCUAAUACCGCAUAAGCUCUUACAUGAGGGUGUAAGAGGAAACCUUCGCAAGAGGGGCUAAAGGAGGGGUCUGCGGCGGAUUAGCUAGAUGGUGGGGUAAAGGCCGUACCANGGCGACGAUCCGUAGCUGGUCUGAGAGGACGGCCAGCCACACUGGGACUGAGACACGGCCCAGGACUCCUACGGGAGGCAGCAGUAAGGAUAUUCCACAAUGGGCGAAAGCCUGAUGGAGCGACGCCGCGUGCGGGACGACGGCCUCGGUUGUAAC
RNAcentral lists this ribosomal RNA (395 nucleotides) under uncultured bacterium. RNAcentral describes it as "bacterial SSU rRNA". It matches the Rfam family "Bacterial small subunit ribosomal RNA", at positions 28 to 429 of the family's 1533-position model. The record is from RNAcentral.